This 201-nucleotide unclassified non-coding RNA is filed under the name Hevea brasiliensis (rubber tree). The record is from RNAcentral. Lineage: Eukaryota; Viridiplantae; Streptophyta; Magnoliopsida; Malpighiales; Euphorbiaceae.
CUCAAAAUCAAAGUAGCGUAGAAGAUUGGAGCCUCAUAACAGGGAAUAAAAGAAAAACGUCCCAAUAAGGCCAAGGAGAAAGGAGUAUUGCGUUAGUUACUUAGUUCACAAUACUUCACGUGCACCAUGUUUUGUGCUCAAGUUUCUCAAUAUUGCAGUGCAGUAUCUGAAUUGUCGAAGCAUGGAUCGUGUGUAUAGGAG